Molecule: long non-coding RNA, 7194 nt
Organism: Mus musculus (house mouse)
Lineage: Eukaryota; Metazoa; Chordata; Mammalia; Rodentia; Muridae
Product: predicted gene, 53452
Exons: 4
Source: RefSeq, a predicted model, not a curated record
ACCCAAGAAGGAACCAAUUAAUCCAAAUAAUAAUAAUAAUAAUUAAAAUUUGACAGGCCUCGGGAGGCUGAAAUGAGCGCAGAAGUGCAGAGCCUGUGUUCUGUGUGUGACCAAGGACUCGCCAGAGCCCAUGACGGGAGUGUCGGGCUGGCUCCCAGACACAGAAUUAUGGAGCGAGAUCGAAUUUUCUGCAUUGAGGAUCUCUCAUUACAUUUGUUGGUGCAAGUUAAAAUACCUCUUCACGCCUGUGUCAUACGAGAACAAAAACAGAAUCGCCUAGAAUGCUGUGAAGAGGGUAGACUACUCAGGGUGUCCUUGUAGCCGUCUACACAAAGCAAAAUGGAUCUGAGAGGUUUUUUUUUUUUUUUUCACAUGAAGUGUUUGCACAGAGACCUGGGAUUUCCGUGGUUGUACACAGAAGGACAAACCUAACAACAGGAACAGUUUAGGGAAUCUGUGUGUUUUGUUGCUGUGGCUUCUCCUGUAUCCUUUUCCCAUUUUUUUUAAAACUGUAGCUGUUUCUCUGUAUAAACUAUUUGUAUGAAAAUAAAAAUGUCGAAUCUUUUCCAAAAAUGUAACUUUAAUGUGAGCUGCCACGUUGCUUUUGCUGCGAUUGCUGGUGACUGCCUUCUGUCGCAGAUAGCACUGUGUACAUGUAAUUCUUAAGGAUGGAAGGGGCAAGUGGAUCUUUUCCUACAAGGCUAUCCUCUGUGUGCUGGCACAGCCAUUUGCAAAAUUUUGUGUGUGCCUGUGCAAAAGAGAGACACCCACGUACCAUUAUUCCAAACAAUUAAACCCCAACAGCACAAGAACGUGGGGCCCUGGCUCAAUCUUUCCUUGCAGUGAUUGCCUGAGCAAUCACCUUUGAUCAGGGAAGAGCUGGAGGAGAAAGUCCCGCAAGUGACAACCCUCACAUAAAUGUAUACAUUUACAUACAUGGGGCAGCUGUGGAGGGCUCUGCAGCUCCCCCCCCGCCCCCCGCCGUCUAUGACCUGAAACCAUUGUAACUCUGCUGACACCUCAUUUAAUUGAAUCCUUCCCUAGCAGUGCAGAAGCCGAAAGGGGGAGGGACACGGACGGAUGGGUAAUCAAGGCAGUCUCUUCUGCCCGAAUGUCUAGAAAUGGCAGGGUAGUAAUUGCUUUUGAAAAGCAAAAGCAGAAAUAGGACAGAUUUGUUCUGUUUAGCAAGAUUUAAAAAAAAGGGGGGGGGGAUGUAUGUAAAUAUACAGCCCCUGCAACUUUCCAAAAUACUUACCCCAAGAAUAAAACUGAUUUGAAUUUCUGUGCAAAUAGGAAUAAAACGGAUUUUAUUAGAGAAGAAGGAAAAAAAAAUCCUAAGAGCGGGGCGGGGGGGAAACAUCCAGAAAUUUUCCUAGUUCAAAAUGGCCUGAGACAAUAGAAAGAGAUUCAGAGCCCAGAGCCACAGCACGGCCCCUUUUGUCAGCUUCAAAUCAGCCAGCCAGAGGGUCGAGUCAGUUUAACCUGCCUCUGUGACACAUCACCCGCCCGCCUGACCCGAGAUCAGCCUCAUUUUUAUGGAUGCAGAGGCUCAUGGCGUGAUUCAUUCCCGGGCACACCCCGCUCAUUCCGCUGUCUGCCUCCGCCACAAAGACACACAAUCUGCAGAGCUGCUUCUGAGCUCUUCUGGCCAGCCAGCUAAGCAGUGCUCGUCUGCAUGGUUGGUAGAGACGAAUGAGAAUCUGGUCAGCACUUCACCAACUGAGCUGCCUCCAUUGCCCGAGAAGGAAAAUUUGGAAGAAAUUAUAUAAGGCAAGUUCACUAAAAUGGAGGGGAAAAAAAAUCUGCCUGAUAGUCAAGAUCUGAAGGAUGGAGCUGAUUUCAAAGUAAUGAGAAUUUCCUAACCUCCCAAGCUCAGAGAACACUGCAGAAGAGUGGGCGAGAAGAAUGUAUGACUGGCAGAUGAGGAGGAGGUCUGUGUGAAAUGCUAACUUCUGGGUAUGGCGUGGUCGUUACGCAGUUGGCUCAUCACAACUGGGAUUACCUGGGCAGCGUCGAGUCAGUCGGAGUUUGCAGUUUUGUUCUCCGAUGUGCGUGGUGAAGUCUGAAAAAUAUCACCAGAAACAUAAGCAAGGUUUUCCUUUAGCUUUGACUGUAUCCAUAAGCUGAAGAAAGUCCUGGGUUUGGGCAGAAUAAUUUUAUGUGAGUUUUGUUUUAGGAACUAAAUAUCUGUUUACCUUUGCCACAAACUCAGAUAGUGAAGCCUUAAUCCCUGUGUGGUUGGUCACUGGAAGACAGGGCCUCUAGAAGGAAGUAGGGUUUACAUGAGGCCAUGACAGAAUGCUGGGAUUUGUGUCCUUAUAAAAAGAGAAUCGGGAGGCUGGCUGGUUCUUGCCAAACAUGCACUCAUCCAGGACAGGUCGUGUCAGAUCACUGUGCUGAAGACAGUGAUCUUUAAGCCAGGAUGACUGUCGACUUCUACCCUCCAGGAGCAGGAGAAAAUACAGUUUUCCUGUUGUAGCUCCCUAGCCUACAGCACUGUGUUAGGACAGCCAAAGCAGACUGACUAUUGGAAAUGCUUUGGGCAGCAAGUAACAGAAAACACAAUUUGUGUUUGUUAAGUGGACAGUAAAUAAAGGGGUAUUAUAAGUUGCUAAUGGAGAGAUGUUAAGAAUUCUCAGCAAAUAAUGACGAUAAAUUCAAAACUCUCUUACCCUUCUAUUUUGUCACUGUUGCCUUGUUAGUUUCUGACCUUGUGUUUGUCCCUUUAUAAAUGGCUGGUAAAACAGCCCUUUAGAAAAGGAGACAAGAUAAAAUGGGUGGAGUCUCCUUAUAAGGAAGUAAACUUCUCUCCAGUAGCCCCCUCGUAAACAUACCAUAAAUAUCAUCAACAGAGCCGAUGUUACAUGGCCGCUUUUGCUCCAAGCUCAACAGCAAACAAAGGAGAAUGAGCUUGCCAGCCGGGUUUAGGAUAAUGGUGGUCCAUUCCCUGAGGCAGCCACAUCAUCACUUAAAUAAAACAAGGCACAGCAGCUCUAACUGCUGGGUAGCCAUGGAAAAGUAUCUGCCACAUCUCUGUUUCUUAGCUGCUACAUUAUCCAUAGGCGCCUUCAUCCUUCUCUUAGUCCACUUGGGUUACUAUGACAAAGUACCAUAAACUGAGUAGCUUAUGAGCAACAGGAGUUUACUUCUCCCAGUUUCAGAGGUUGAGAAACCUAAGACCAAUGCACCAGCAGACUCUGUCUGUCCAUAGACGAUGCCAUCUCACUGAAUCCCCACAUGGAGUAACAGGAAGAAGGGGACACUCCUUGAGAAUCUCUUUUAUUAGGAUGUCAAGCCCUCUCCUGACCUAGUCAUGACUUGUCACUUCCAAGGGCUCUAGCCCUAAUACCAUCACAUUGGUGUUUAGGUUUCAACCUGUGAAUUUAGUGAUGUAAAUGUCCGAUCUACAACAUGACUUCCUGGUCUAUCCCAAGAUAUUCUAAGUAGAAAGUGGACCCUUGCCAGAAUGCAAUCGCUCUACGGUGGGUGAUGUGAUACCUAUUACCCCAUCAUACCUAAGACACACUCAGCAAGGGAAAAAGUCACUAGAAAUGUUUCCUUAGACAUUUAGCAACCAUGACAGAGCCUGAAAAGUCUUACCCACUGGUUGUAUACAUUAAAAUAACACAAGUAUUUUAAAAGAUGUUUUUUAAAAGUAUGUACAAAUGUGUUAGAGAGCAUGUGGAUUUACACAUGUGAGUACAGUGUCCAUGGAGACCAGAAGAGGGAGUUAGAUUCCUGAGAGUUAACAAGCAGUUGUGUGCUAUCCUAUGUGGAUGCUGGAACCACAAACUCUGGUUCUCUGAAUGCACAGUACAUGCUAUUGACUGUUGAGCCCUCUCUCCAACCCUAAUCUAGGAUUGCCUAAAAGACACUAUUGUUUAAAACCAGACUAGCUCAGUCAGAAUCUUUGUGUGGGGGCCCCAGCAUCAGUAAGGAUACUCAUCAAACAUGAUUCAAACAUUGAUCCAGGGAUGGGAACAACUAUAAGAAGGAUUUAUAUGGGAAACAAAGAUCCUAGCCUUUAUCCUCCUGGAAGACUCUCAAGACAUUUUCUCAGUGUUACUCGUGUUUAUAUUUACCUUUUAAUACAUUGCUUAUGUGUGCACUAUGCACAUGUAACUCUGUGAGAAAGGCUGUGGAUGUGUGUAUGGAGACGUUGUAAGCAGCUUCCACCUGAAGAACAUUCAUGCUCUUUGGAGUAAAUCAGUAAAGUGUUGGAAUACUAAAUGUGUGUUGCCAGAUGAGCAUGGAACGGGGUGGUCAGUAAAGGCCCCAUACAAGUGUUAGGAAAGUUUGACUAGACCACUGUGAAGGAGAUAUUGCAACAUGGUGUGUCUGGGAUGGACCUAAGUUAAUUAGUUCUCAUGGGGAGCAGAAAAUAAGACGAGAAGCUGCAAAGGAACAUAGCAGCUGAGAGGCUGCCGUGGUGAAAGCAGCCUAUAUAGGUUGGCAGGAAAAAUCAGGGAAGGCCUCAGCUGAGGCUGGGGAAUGAAGAGUAGGGAAACAUUCAGUAGGUAGUCAUGAAUAUGGGAGUUUGCACAGGACCGGGUUGUGUCUGUGGCAAAGUUGGUUGUAGACUCUGGGAAGAUGGCCACAGGCAGAAAACUAGAAGCCAGUCAUUUACACAUGCCCUUGGCAGCCAUCAUUGUUCCGUGUCUCUGCUGGAAUGUAAGCCCUUGACACAAGCCCUCCUACAUCUAUUCAUGAAUGAGCAAACAUUUAUCCAUCACCUAGUAGGGCCCAAGCACAGUAACACGGCAGCAAAUAAACUAAAGCCAGAGGAGACAAUGAGCAUAAAAAAGACCAUUUCUGGGACAUGUUAAGUUCAGCGAUGACAACAGGAUAUAGGACAAUGUUCAUAAGUGUAGAGUUAGUUGGGUUCCUGUUGGAUAUGGUUUCCAGCAUCAGGAGGUGGUGGUGGCUAUUGGGGAAUGAGCAUUCCAAUCAAAGCAUCAGCAAGGGCAAAGACCCCGGGAAGAGACUGAGUUGACAGAUCCAGCGUGGAGUACAGCUUAGGGAUGGAGAGGGAGAAGAGGCACGCCCCCAGCUCUCUAUUGGGUUAUCUCACAAGGUGCUGCUAGGCAGCAAUGAAUAAGUUGGAUUAUUCCCACGUGGAAACCGCAUGAGGUCACACAGGAAGAAAGAGUCUUUAGGCUUCUCAUAGGAAGUGGGGUUUCUUUUGCUUGUAGUAUUGGACUCCUCUCUGGUGUUUAUUAUGAGGACGGAAUCAUCCGGUUUGUCUUAUGUAUUUCCCCAUCUCUUUGUGUCAGACAGGGAGGACCACUAAAGGAUGGUGAUCUGGCCCACUUUUGACUCUCCCACAUCUGAGCCAAAGCCCUGCUCGCUAGCAUCCACUUAAAUAUUUGGUGAACAGAUAUGCCUAUGAUAAAUAUCUAGCACCUGGGCCCACACAGUUUCAAAAAGAAACACAAGAAGUUACUCGAGAAACGAAACACAGAGCUAACAGAUACUCCAUCCAUCCAACUCUUGAUGGGACAUGAAAGACAACUGGAAGCCGGUGUCCAGGUGGAGGUGUAUGGGUGCUUAUGGGUAUUCAGAACAGCCGCAAGUUAGAGACACUCAAACAUCAACUGAUGCAUGAACAAACAAAGUGUGGGUCAUCUCCCCAGUGGACUCCUGGGCUGUCACAAAGAGCAAUGACAUCCUGAUGCACGGUUAUAACAUAGACAAUCCUCCAAAACCCCGUGCUAAGUGGAGUGAUCCGGAUGCCACAGAUCACAUGUGUGAUUCAGUUUCUCUGUAAAGCCCUAACUCACAGAAAGGAACUGGGGGAGGUCAGGGUGGAAGGGUGCAUACUUAAUAGGCUCAAGGUUGCCUUUGGGAGCAGGUGUGGAUGUUUUAAAGCCAGAUAGGCAAUAGAUGGGAAAUACCAUGAGUACAUAAGUGCCAUGAAAUUAGACACGGGUUAAUUUUGUGUUAUGUGAGUAUCAGUUCAAUAAGAGAGUAGGGAGACAGACUUAAUUCUGUUUGGAUAGAGAAAGGGAAGGUUAGAUGGACCAUUCACCGGCUGUAAAGAGAUCACGUGUGUCUUUGAAGACAGAAAGUGAAAAGGCCGUGCAGAUGCCAGUGAACUCUCUUGAGUCUUCCCGGGUCUCAGAAGUACGAGACACUUUUAUGUGUGUAAAAUACAUAUAUAUGUACAUUCAGUCUACUCCCCAUAUUUACACAGUGUACUAUGCAUGCUAUUCCAGACCUUUUAUGUGCUUUCUGGUGUUGUUUUAUGAUAUAUCACACUCACAGAUAUGAUGGUCUUUCUGGAUCUCUCCCGUCAUGUGUUUUGUCUCCUUGCAAAUUAAAAAGAAAGGAUUUCUAUGUAGAAAAGUCCAUAGUGUCUCUACAGCUCCAUACUUUACCAUUGCAUGGACAGAGCAUCAUUUCUUUAGCUAGUCUCCGACUGAUGGACCCUUAGGUACCUUCUGAUCCUCUUUGAUUACAAAGCUUCAAUGUAUAGCCAUUUGCAUGUGCCAUUCCAUAAGUGUGCAGGUCUGUCUGUAGAAUUAAUUCACAGAACUGGACUCACUAGGUCAAAGGGCAUCUGGAUGUUAUUUUCAUGAGUCUUGGAAAAGUUGUGUCCCCUAGAGUUUAUGCUGGGUUUUAUUUCAACCAGCAAUUCAUAAACACACACACAUACACAUAUACACAUACACACACAUUUUACCACACCUUAACAAGAUCAUUAUUUCAUCACUAAUUUGGGUAUUUGUUACUAUGUUAAAUAUAACAUACUAUCUCAGUGUGGAGUUUCUUUAUGUUUCGCUCACUAUAACCCGGUAUUGUUUCUUUGAAAGACAUCUUUGUCUGCUUCUGAUGCAUUGUCUGUGUCUGCUUAGCUUAUUGAACUUUCAUGCACUGACUUAUAGAAGCUUAUAUAUUACAGGAAUUGACUUUAUAUGAAUUAUGAUUUUCCAGUUUGUCAUCUCGCUUUGCUUUGCUCCUAAUAAUUUUGCCAUAUGGAACGUGCUUUGUCUUUCUUAUUGUUAAUCUGCAAAUCCAUGUAACACCUAGGUCCUGUGUCACAUUUAGAAAGGACUCCACUCCCUUCAAGGUCACUCGUUUGAACUCUCUGUGACUUCUACCAACUUUCUGGCUUUCUUGGUGCAUUGCAAUUCAUGUGAAUUUAUUUCGGUACAUUUGAUAUAUCGUUCACUGUUGUUCCCCUUACUAAAUAAA